UAUCAUAAUGUAUUGUAUAUAGGCUACAACAAUCCAAGACCAUUUACUUUAGGAAUAAUUUCAUUUUAUUUAUUUAUAAGCAUCUCCAAAAAAAGUAGGCCUACUCAAAAGUAGUUUUUUCUUCUUCUUAUAAUCUAAAAUCACUUGUGUUAUGCAGUCAUUGCGUCAUGCUAAGAUUGGCAUGCGUGUCUUCCCGCCUUCUUAUUUAAAAAAAACGGUUUGCCUCUCACCACUUAAACACGGGCACCUGCGUGUCAAUGGAUAAAACUCUAGGCCUAAUCUAUCAAGGUAAGAUUUAUAUUUCAUUUUAUAUUAGCUGAGUUACUGCUGCUUUUAUCUAACUGGACAUUUUUUUCAAAGCGACGCGGCUGGCGGACCGGCGGGGAGACUCAUCGUGAAGGUGAAAGUCCUAAGAGUAUGUUAAAUGGCGCGCUGGCAGACCGGCAGGGAGACUCAUGAAGACGAAAAGCCCUACAAAUACUUUAAAUAGCGGCGCUGGCAGAGCGGCCGGACCAUCGGGAGACAGGCGGCCAUAAAGAAGACCGUUUUAAACAUUUUGAGAUGGUAUGUGUCCUCUGAUUAUUGUUGUAUACUCUUACUAAUUAAGUACUUUAACUCUUCAAACUUUUAUUUUUUAUAUUUAAUACAUUUAUUUUCCACUGGCACAAUGUGUUGUUAACUGUGAUUUUACUUUUAGGCUAUACACU
This is a long non-coding RNA of Onychostoma macrolepis, 707 nucleotides long. RefSeq lists it as uncharacterized. The record is from RefSeq and is a predicted model, not a curated record. Lineage: Eukaryota; Metazoa; Chordata; Actinopteri; Cypriniformes; Cyprinidae. The transcript is spliced from 3 exons.